RNAcentral lists this ribosomal RNA (198 nucleotides) under uncultured bacterium. RNAcentral's name for it is "partial 16S ribosomal RNA". It matches the Rfam family "Bacterial small subunit ribosomal RNA", at positions 326 to 539 of the family's 1533-position model. The record is from RNAcentral.
ACGCUCGACACCUACGGGAUGCAGCAGUGGGGGAUAUUGCACAAUGGGGGGAACCCUGAUGCAGCGACGCCGCGUGAGGGAAGAAGGUUUUCGGAUUGUAAACCUCUGUCCUCAGGGAAGAAGAUGACGGUACCUGAGGAGGAAGCCACGGCUAACUACGUGCCAGCAGUCGCGGUAAUCUGAGCGGGCUGGCAAGGC